RNAcentral lists this ribosomal RNA (548 nucleotides) under Colletotrichum sp. AX81. Its description in RNAcentral is "eukaryotic LSU rRNA". The stretch from base 229 to 382 matches the Rfam family "5.8S ribosomal RNA". The record is from RNAcentral. Lineage: Eukaryota; Fungi; Ascomycota; Sordariomycetes; Glomerellales; Glomerellaceae.
CAAGGUCUCCGUUGGUGAACCAGCGGAGGGAUCAUUACUGAGUUACCGCUCUAUAACCCUUUGUGAACAUACCUACAACUGUUGCUUCGGCGGGUAGGCCGUCCCCUGAAAAGGACGCCUCCCGGCCCGGACCGGACCCCCCGCGGGACCGGACCCGGCGCCCGCCGGAGGAUAACCAAACUCUAUUGUAACGACGUUUCUUCUGAGUGGCAUAAGCAAAAUAAUCAAAACUUUUAACAACGGAUCUCUUGGUUCUGGCAUCGAUGAAGAACGCAGCGAAAUGCGAUAAGUAAUGUGAAUUGCAGAAUUCAGUGAAUCAUCGAAUCUUUGAACGCACAUUGCGCCCGCCAGCAUUCUGGCGGGCAUGCCUGUUCGAGCGUCAUUUCAACCCUCAAGCUCUGCUUGGUGUUGGGGCUCUACGGUCGACGUAGGCCCUCAAAGGUAGUGGCGGACCCUCCCGGAGCCUCCUUUGCGUAGUAACAUUUCGUCUCGCACUGGGAUCCGGAGGGACUCUUGCCGUAAAACCCCCAAUUUCCAAAGGUGACCUC